AAAAUUGCCGCAAUCUGUCUCCCAAUAAUUAGCAGCCGGAGUGCAAUACGGCGGUUGUAUCAUGCAAUCGUGCAUUAUCUUAUUCCAGUCCUCUCCGGUGACAAUACGGAAUAGCAUGGCAACACCAGUCACAGGAAUUACUUAACAUUACCUUCCUAUACCUUCACCGUAUUUGACUGUUCCAAAGAUGAUAGUGCCUGCUAGCGCAUAAAAGAAAACAAGAAGAAACAUGCCGAAUAUAAUGAAGAAACUUUUACAAACGGAUACUCCAACCGUUAACAUUAACAUUUUGAGAGUCGUAUGUUUCCCGGUAAUGGUGAAGAAUCUAAGGAUCACAACCAUAAAGCCGAUAACGUAUGACAAAUCGUUCUGUAAGAAAGCACUCCUGUCAUUACAUUUAUAAUUAAUUGAAAACGGUCAUUGGACGGUGUCUAACAUAAUCGACGUACCUUCAUUGUACAAUGAAUGACGAUCCAAAUAACACCGACGACUGUCACGAGCAAAUCAUAUCUGUUUCUUCUGGACUGCCAAUAGCCACGUGGUGUAAAAGCAAUGUUUUUCAUAAUUACCUCUACAAGGAAGAUCAGUGUCAGAAUCGUGGACACCGUAGCGAGUGCUUCCGUGUGUUCUUCCUCGAUUCUCCACUUAAGGGGGGGAAGAAAAAAUAAAAAAAAGUCAUUAACGCAAAUAAACAUGUAUGUACAUAUACGUGUAUGGUUUACUUUUACCACGGUCUAAUGGUAGCCGGCAAGGAACAAAUGAUUCAGAGUAACAGUCAUUGAAUCCUGUUCUUCAGCGAAGAGUGUAUAUGUUUGUAUAUGAAGAAUUGAUUAGUAUUUUUGUAACAGUGUCGGUUGCUCGUGUAGUGUAUUGUAAAUAAUUGUGAUAUAAAAAAAAGGAAAGAAUGCAAAAUUAUUCAACUCACAGAAACGCAUAGAAGACCACUGUUUAUUAGUACCAUGACAGCGAUGAAUCUUUUGAAAUAUAUGUUCUGAGUGAUGUCAUAGAUAAAGGCUCGAAAUUUCUUUCCAUCUGGUCUGGGCGAGUAAUUAGCGAUAACAACACCAACGAACAAUGUUAAACCAAUCAUACAGCCCAGGAAAAUAUAGAUAUGGAUAUAAAUAGCAUGGACCUAAAAAUCAUCAAACGAUAAUCAUCAUAUGAAUGAUUUAAAUUGUUAUGAAUGGACUUACGGGACCAAGAGCUUUGAUAAGAACGUCUCUAACGUCGAGCCAACCUUUGAAAGAGAGUACCUCGAAAAGUGCCAUCAGCGCGUCACCGAUAUUGUCGAAAUUAAAUCGUCUAGGAUUAGCCCUAAAAUAUUUUAUUCACUGCUUAAGAAUGUUCUUCAUAUAUCUAUAUACGUAUCUUCUUGUUAAUAAUCCUACCAGACUCGUGGCACUAGUAUAGAUGGAUAACUUUCAUUUUGGCCCGGUCGUAGUUUCAUUUUCGUCACGAAAACUCUUCUCAUGAACACUCCAACGCAAUCUUCACGUUUCAAUAUAGUGGGAUCAUUGCAACGAGCUAAUCUACCUCCGUAAAGUUGCACCCCAUAACUUGCAAAUAUGAACAUCAACAGAAACAACAGAGUAGACACCUAAAAAGCUUCUUAUUCAUUUUUUGUCUGAACUUUGCGUCAAAUCUUAUGAAACGAAUGUUAAGAUAAAUAAUCAAAGGGUAGAUCGAAUAACGUUUAAUCAGGAUUAGUUACCAAUAAGAUCUCUUUGAAGCCCCUACAUAGCUCGUAAACGACCUUCCUCAUGUGCGGUACAAGGGUGAAGAUCCUUAACGGUCUAACGCAUCGCAAGAUCAUUAGAAGUUGGGCCCCAGAAUUCGGUGGCACGCUCUUCGGCAUCCAACAGAGAAACACGAGACUGACCUGAAUGUUCAUUGAAUUAGCCUUUACGUAUUUUUUACACGUCGAAAUGCAACUGGUGAUUCUUUGAUUGUCAACAUACGACGUAGAUAAAAACGUCCAAAACGGAAGCCACGUCUUUGAUAUAGGCCUUCGGCGUGAAAAACAAUCCGUCCGCCAGAAUCUUAAGAGCUAAUUCGAUACUCAUAAAGAUCACGAAACCGUAUUCGGUGAUCUGCAACGCCGGUACUUCCAUCACGCGAUAUCGUGGUGUUUCGAACAUCAUGGAGAUGCAAGACAUCGUCGUCGCAUAGAUCAUUACCCAAUCGAGAUGAUCUAAGGCGAAUUUAAAAGCAGCCACGCUUUAAUGUAGAAAGGACUUACUGCAAACUUUUAUAUUGAACUUUCCUCUCUUUUCCAGUUAACG
Osmia lignaria (orchard mason bee) is the source of this 2282-nucleotide long non-coding RNA. RefSeq lists it as uncharacterized. NCBI's taxonomy places the organism in Eukaryota, Metazoa, Arthropoda, Insecta, Hymenoptera, Megachilidae. The record is from RefSeq and is a predicted model, not a curated record.